UCCUAGCCGUGAUUGCAGCGAAAAUCCUUUUUGAAAAAAAGAUUGCAGCGGAAAGCGCGAAAAAGC
This 66-nucleotide small RNA is filed under the name Chryseobacterium takakiae. RNAcentral's name for it is "Flavo-1 RNA". It matches the Rfam family "Flavo-1 RNA". Lineage: Bacteria; Pseudomonadati; Bacteroidota; Flavobacteriia; Flavobacteriales; Weeksellaceae. The record is from RNAcentral.